Molecule: ribosomal RNA, 497 nt
Filed under: uncultured bacterium
Lineage: Bacteria
Description: partial 16S ribosomal RNA
Rfam family: Bacterial small subunit ribosomal RNA
Source: RNAcentral
GAUGAACGCUGGCGGCGUGCCUAAUACAUGCCAGUCGAGCGAACAGACGAGGAGCUUGCUCCUCUGACGUUAGCGGCGGACGGGUGAGUAACACGUGGAUAACCUACCUAUAAGACUGGGAUAACUUCGGGAAACCGGAGCUAAUACCGGAUAAUAUAUUGAACCGCAUGGUUCAAUAGUGAAAGACGGUUUUGCUGUCACUUAUAGAUGGAUCCGCGCCGCAUUAGCUAGUUGGUAAGGUAACGGCUUACCAAGGCGACGAUGCAUAGCCGACCUGAGAGGGUGAUCGGCCACACUGGAACUGAGACACGGUCCAGACUCCUACGGGAGGCAGCAGUAGGGAAUCUUCCGCAAUGGGCGAAAGCCUGACGGAGCAACGCCGCGUGAGUGAUGAAGGUCUUCGGAUCGUAAAACUCUGUUAUUAGGGAAGAACAAAUGUGUAAGUAACUAUGCACGUCUUGACGGUACCUAAUCAGAAAGCCACGGCUAACUACGUG